RNAcentral lists this non-coding RNA (173 nucleotides) under Chitinophaga sp. CF118. The record is from RNAcentral. Lineage: Bacteria; Pseudomonadati; Bacteroidota; Chitinophagia; Chitinophagales; Chitinophagaceae.
UCGUGGGCGACUGCGAAUCUGAAGGAAGCUGGCGGCAAAUAUGGGAACCUACGAACAGAAACCGUAUAUAAGGCAGCCAUGAUGUGGGUGAUGUUGCUAAACAAACAAAAGCCCAAUACUGCACGGACAUCAGGAUGUAAAUACGGAGGUUACAUCCAUAGAAAGCAGAUCGU